CUACUGCAGGUGAACUUCGUCCGGACUCCUACGGGAGCCGGGCUCCGUCCUCGACCUCGACUACUGGUAAAUUUCGUCCGGACUUCUAAGGGAGCCGGACUUCACCCCUGACUUUGAUUGCAGGUAAACUUCAUCCAGACUCCUACGGGAGCCGGACUUCGUCCCCGACUUCCACUGCAGGUAAACUUCGUCCAGACUCCUAGUGGAGCCGGACUUCGUCUCCGACUUUCACUGCAGGUGAACUUCGUCCGGACUCCUACGGGAGUCGGACUUCGUCCCCGACUCCUACUGCAGGUGAACUUCGCCCGGACUCCUACGGGAGCCGGGCUCCGUCCUCGACCUCGAUUGCAGGUGAACUUCGUCCGGACUCCUAAGGGAGCCGGGCUCCGUCCUCGACCUCGACUGCUGGUAGACUUCGUCCACUCCUACGGGAGCCGGACUUCGUCCCCGACUUCCACUGCAGGUAAACUUCGUCCAGACUCCUACGGGAGCCGGACUUCGUCCCCGACUUCCACUGCAGGUGAACUUCGCUCGGACUCCUAUGGGAGCCGGGCUCCGUCCUCGACCUCGACUGCUGGUAAACUUCGUCCGGACUCCUAAGGGAGUCGGACUUCUCCCCUGACUUUGAUUGCAGGUAGACUUCGUCCAGACUCCUACGGGAGCCGGACUUCGUCCUCGACUCCUACUGCAGGUAAACUUCACCCGGACUCCUACGGGAGCCGGACUCCGUCCUCGACCUCGACUGCUGGUAAACUUCGUCCGGACUCCUAAGGGAGCCGGACUUCGUCCCUGACUUUGAUUGCAGGUAAACUUCGUCCAGACUCCUACGGGAGCCGGACUUCGUCUCCGACUUCCACUGCAGGUGAACUUCGUCCGGACUCCUACGGGAGCCGGACUUCGUCCCCGACUCCUACUGCAGGUGAACUUCGCCCGGACUCCUACAGGAGCCGGGCUCCGUCCUCGACCUCGACUGCUGGUAAACUUCGUCCGGACUCCUAAGGGAGCCGGAUUUCGCCCAUGACUUUGAUUGCAGGUAGACUUCGCCCGGGCUCCUACGGGAGCCAGAUCUCAUCUCCGACUCCAGCUGCGGGAAGACUCCGUCCGGACUCCCACGGGAGUCGGACCUCGUCCCCGACUUCAACUGAAGGAAGACUCUGUCCGGACUCCUAUGGGAGCCGAACUUCGAGCUCCUCUCAGACGGGUAACUAGCCACCUCUCUCCGCCAGACACUCCAGCUGGACUUCGGCCGACAGACCU
RNAcentral lists this long non-coding RNA (1257 nucleotides) under Elaeis guineensis (African oil palm). RNAcentral's name for it is "long non-coding RNA (EGUI_LNC045051)". The record is from RNAcentral. Lineage: Eukaryota; Viridiplantae; Streptophyta; Magnoliopsida; Arecales; Arecaceae.